Eptesicus fuscus (big brown bat) is the source of this 486-nucleotide non-coding RNA. NCBI's taxonomy places the organism in Eukaryota, Metazoa, Chordata, Mammalia, Chiroptera, Vespertilionidae. The record is from the annotation of a RefSeq genome assembly.
AUGGCCUGGACUCCUCUGCUCCUCGCGCUCCUCUCUCUCUGCACAGGGUCCCUCUCCCAGCCUGUGCUGACCCAGCCGCCCUCCCUCUCUGCCUCUCCGGGAGCCACAGCCAGACUCACCUGCACCCUGAGCAGUGGCUCCAAUGUUGGUGGCUACCACAUACACUGGCACCAGCAGAAGCCAGGGAGCCGUCUCAGGUUUCUCCUGAGAUUCAACACAGACUCAAAUAAGUACCAGGGCUCCGGGGUCCCCAGCCGCUUCUCUGGAUCCAGAGACGACUCGGCCAAUGCGGGGCUCCUGCUCAUCUCGGGGCUGCAGCCCGAGGACGAGGCUGACUAUUACUGCGCUACAUACUAUAGCAGUGGGGGCAGCUUUCGUUACCCACAGGACCUGUGUCCCCGGGAGGAGGAGGUCACCUCGAUGGAGCAGCAGCACAGGCGUCCCAGGAGCACACGGGAGGUCAUGGAGCCCCGCCCACCACCUUGA